Molecule: transfer RNA, 85 nt
Filed under: Microvirga lotononidis
Lineage: Bacteria; Pseudomonadati; Pseudomonadota; Alphaproteobacteria; Hyphomicrobiales; Methylobacteriaceae
Description: tRNA-OTHER
Rfam family: tRNA
About the family: Transfer RNA (tRNA) molecules are approximately 80 nucleotides in length. Their secondary structure includes four short double-helical elements and three loops (D, anti-codon, and T loops).
Source: RNAcentral
GAGCGCCGGCUAAAUGAUCUCCAGUCAAAAGAGCCUCUGACUUUUAAUCAGAGGGUCCUGGGUUCGAGUCCCAGCGCGCUCACUA